Molecule: long non-coding RNA, 892 nt
Filed under: Zea mays
Lineage: Eukaryota; Viridiplantae; Streptophyta; Magnoliopsida; Poales; Poaceae
Description: long non-coding RNA (ZMAY_LNC005253)
Source: RNAcentral
UGCCGACAGUUUUAACAAUAUACCACGAGUAUAUGACGCAGAGCACAGGAUCCAAGAGCUCCGGAACGCUCGGUUGCAGAAACACAUACAGGACGAGCUGCAGCUGCAAGCGACCCAAGGACAGAUGCGUUGCUCUGGCACGUGCCAUGUCAUAGGCUCAAAGCAAGCAAAGGUAUGUUGCACGAAAAGUGAAAGGGGGCAGUGCAGAGGGCAGACUAGCAGAGUCGCAGUGCCCUACUGCCGUCGUUCUCCAGGCACGUCCCAUGUCGAAGGCUCGAUCCGCGAGAACGUCGGUGCCGCAGUCUCGGAAAAGAACCAUAUCCUCUAUCGGUGUGGCACUUGCAGUUGCAGGCGGACCACCUGUCGUCAGAGUUCAGUUCAGACAACCAUCGUGGAUUCAUCAUGUACUACACUACUACUAGUUCCCAAGCUCAUCAUAUGCAGAAAUGCAGGGUGUUUUCUGACCUAAUUUAACUGCAGAGCUAGCUGAUAGCUCCAACUGUCGGUGCCAUCUGCAAAAAGAAGAUGCAAAAAAAAAAGGUUAAGCAACCUACGUUUUGGAAGAAGAAAAAUACAGUUUCGACGAUGAAGAGUACCUAUGGCUUUAUCGUGGGAAAGCGCAAUGCAGGCAUUAGUACAAUUCCUACUAAAAGAUACUAAGACAACCGUUUCAUCUCAUGCCAACUUUUAUCAGUUUUCCUGCUUUGUCUUGCACUGUUCGAGAUCUCGGUGACAGCGGCACCUUUGAGACUACUUGCUUGACCUUUGAUGCUUAUGGCUUAUCCUCCUUUCCUUUUAACUACUUCAUUUUUUGUCCUUUUCAUCAUGACUGAUGUGUCAUGCACUGCAGACUACAGAAAUGACUAGGGCACUAGGCAACUGUGGCUGGAUU